GAUGAACGCUGGCGGCGUGCCUAACACAUGCAAGUCGAACGAAGCACUUAGGUGAAUCCCUUCGGGGUGAAGCCUUUGUGACUGAGUGGCGGACGGGUGAGUAACGCGUGGGCAACCUGCCCUAUACCGGGGGACAACAGCUGGAAACGGCUGCUAAUACCGCAUAAGCGCACAGAGUCGCAUGGCUCAGUGUGAAAAACUCCGGUGGUAUAGGAUGGACCCGCGUCCGAUUAGCUAGUUGGUAGUGUAAUGGACUACCAAGGCGACGAUCGGUCGCCGGCCUGAGAGGGCGGACGGCCACAUUGGGACUGAGACACGGCCCAAACUCCUACGGGAGGCAGCAGUGGGGGAUAUUGCACAAUGGGGGAAACCCUGAUGCAGCGACGCCGCGUGGGUGAAGACGGCCUUCGGGUUGUAAAGCCCUGUUGAGGGGGACGAUAAUGACGGUACCCCUGUAGAAAGCCACGGCUAACUACGUGCCAGCCGCCGCCGUAACAC
RNAcentral lists this ribosomal RNA (498 nucleotides) under uncultured bacterium. Its description in RNAcentral is "bacterial SSU rRNA". It matches the Rfam family "Bacterial small subunit ribosomal RNA", at positions 28 to 526 of the family's 1533-position model. The record is from RNAcentral.